AAAAAAACUGUGAACAAGAGGAAUAUUAUUAUUUUAUUCAAAGAGAGCUAGUGUUUGGUGAAAACUAGUAAUAAAGAUGGUAUUUGUAGCUUGGGAGUUGAACUUUUGAAAUUAAGUAAAUUGUUACGGUAACGCGUUAUAGUUUCAAGGUAGAUUAUUCUACAAAUUAAGGUGGUACCACGUUAAACACGUCCUUAUU
RNAcentral lists this non-coding RNA (199 nucleotides) under Acholeplasma sp. RNAcentral describes it as "T-box sequence". It matches the Rfam family "T-box leader". Rfam says of the family: Uncharged tRNA acts as the effector for transcription antitermination of genes in the T-box leader family. T-boxes are found upstream of many aminoacyl-tRNA synthetase genes and some amino acid biosynthetic genes usually in Gram-positive bacteria. The anticodon of a specific tRNA base pairs to a specifier sequence within the T-box motif, and the NCCA acceptor tail of the tRNA base pairs to a conserved bulge in the T-box antiterminator hairpin. The record is from RNAcentral. Lineage: Bacteria; Bacillati; Mycoplasmatota; Mollicutes; Acholeplasmatales; Acholeplasmataceae.